Molecule: non-coding RNA, 1262 nt
Organism: Podarcis lilfordi (Lilford's wall lizard)
Lineage: Eukaryota; Metazoa; Chordata; Lepidosauria; Squamata; Lacertidae
Source: the annotation of a GenBank genome assembly
AAAAAUUUCUGAGCGUAGUGGACUGAGAAAAGCGGGAUAAAUGAAAAAGAGAAUAACUCCAACCACUUCCGUAGUGGGAAAAAUAUAUAAACACUGGGUCCCUGAUAAUACUAAGUACUAUCUUCCACUUGCCUGUCCUACGGGGGUUUCUCUGUGCGUGUGACUGAACCGUGGGAGAUAUACGAUAUCGCAGUACUUCCGAAGUAGUGCUACAGUGUUAUUUUGAAGAGACUUGGAGACCUCCAGUGGCGGGAUUAAAAACAUCUGACCCUCAACUGCUUCUGCACACCCCCCCAUCUCUCUUCUCGAGACUGUGAACCUCUCGUAGCCAGAGGAUUUGGCUGCUUGGAAGAACGCAGGCGUUCAUUGCAACCCUAAGCACUGCUUACUCAAAACUCACGCCUCCCUUGACUUACUCCCAAGUAAGCGGGUAUACAGCAUUGCAGCCUUUGCGUCCUAGGAAAACAACAACAACCCCUUUAUUGGACGUGUGUUCAACUGGACACUUGGACACUUGGAAUAGCCUGAAUAGAGGCAAGAAGGCGUCACAACAAGAACUAUAUAUUGAAUGAAUGGUAUAUACUUAUAUGGGGAAGAAAUAGCUUUGUCUAGUGUCAAUAAUAAAAAGAAAAAAAGGAACUUUGGUGGGGAGGGAGAGACGAAGGGUGUGGAGGGGGUGAGGGGCGUUACAUGGGAACGAGGUAAUUUAAGGAAAUAUAAGAAUAUAUGAUGUCUCAUACAGCGAAGAAAGGAAUGAAUGGGGGGACCCCUGGUGAAAGGAGGGGGUCCAAACAAGAGACAGACUCCAAGACAGAUAUCAUGAGGAUGCUAGUGGAAAUUAAACAGAGUCAAAAUAAUUUAGAAUAUAAAUUAGAACAAGUGGAUAAUAAAAUUGGGAAAAUGGACAAAAAAAUGGAUGAAACAGUUAGUGAACUUAAAGGUCAAAUAAAAGAAGUAUCUAGGAGAACGCAGAAUGUUGAGGAAGGAAUAAAAAAGACAAGAUUGGAAUUAAAGGAUAUUAAGCGGGAUAAGGAUAAGAUUAAAGUAGAAAUGAUGGAUUUAAAUAAAGCACAGGAGGAGAUGAAGGACAUUAUAGCAAUGAAUGAACUGCGACAGAGGGAAGUGAAUCUUAGAUUGAGAGCCGUUCCAGAGAUACAAGGGGAAAAUAUUAAGGAAAGAUUAAUAACAGAGCUGGCGGAAUGGCUAGACAUACCAGUAGAGGAAAUGGCAAAAAAUGUGCAGAAUGCAUUUAGAAUGCGUGU